CCAAUAGCGUAUAUUAAAGUUGUUGCAGUUAAAAAGCUCGUAGUUGAAUUUCGGGAUCAAAAUGUUGGUCGUGCUUCGGUACGCACUGGCAUUAUUGGUUUCUACCUUCUGAAGAACCGCGAUGUCAUUAAUUUGGUGUCGUGGGGAAUCAGGACUGUUACUUUGAAAAAAUUAGAGUGUUUAAAGCAGGCUUACGCUUGAAUACAUUAGCAUGGAAUAAUGAAAUAGGACGUUUGAUUCUAUUUUGUUGGUUUCUAGGAUCGACGUAAUGAUUAAUAGGGAUAGUUGGGGGCAUUAGUAUUCAAUUGUCAGAGGUGAAAUUCUUGGAUUUAUUGAAGACUAACUACUGCGAAAGCAUUUGCCAAGGAUGUUUUCAUUAAUCAAGAACGAAAGUUAGGGGAUCGAAGACGAUCAGAUACCGUCGUAGUCUUAACCAUAAACUAUGCCGACUAGGGAUCGGAUGAUGUUAAUUUUUUAAUGACUCAUUCGGCGCCUUACG
This 499-nucleotide ribosomal RNA is filed under the name uncultured Glomus. Its description in RNAcentral is "SSU rRNA". It matches the Rfam family "Eukaryotic small subunit ribosomal RNA", at positions 591 to 1092 of the family's 1831-position model. Lineage: Eukaryota; Fungi; Glomeromycota; Glomeromycetes; Glomerales; Glomeraceae. The record is from RNAcentral.